AUUGGGCGUAAGCGCGCGCAGGCGGUUCCUUAAGUCUGAUGUGAAAGCCCCCGGCUCAACCGGGGAGGGUCAUUGGAAACUGGGGAACUUGAGUGCAGAAGAGAAGAGUGGAAUUCCACGUGUAGCGGUGAAAUGCGUAGAGAUGUGGAGGAACACCAGUGGCGAAGGCGACUCUUUGGUCUGUAUCUGACGCUGAGGCGCGAAAGCGUGGGGAGAAAACAAUUUUAUAUCCCCUGGUUCCCCCCCCCGUAAAAGAUGAGUGCUAAGUGUUAGGGGUUUCCCCCCUUU
This 288-nucleotide ribosomal RNA is filed under the name Cytobacillus firmus. Its description in RNAcentral is "Bacillus firmus partial 16S ribosomal RNA". It matches the Rfam family "Bacterial small subunit ribosomal RNA", at positions 553 to 841 of the family's 1533-position model. The record is from RNAcentral. Lineage: Bacteria; Bacillati; Bacillota; Bacilli; Caryophanales; Bacillaceae.